Molecule: ribosomal RNA, 393 nt
Filed under: uncultured bacterium
Lineage: Bacteria
Description: partial 16S ribosomal RNA
Rfam family: Bacterial small subunit ribosomal RNA
Source: RNAcentral
AUACGGCAGGUCCGGGCGUUAUCCGGAUUUAUUGGGUUUAAAGGGAGCGCAGGCGGAGAUGCAAGCGUGAUGUCAAAUUUCGGGGCUCAACCCCGUCUCGCGUCGCGAACUGCGUCCCUUGGUUGCGGGAUGGGGAGGCGGAACUCGUGGUGUAGCGGGGAAAUGCAUAGUCAUCACGAAGAACUCCGAUCGCGAAGGCAGCCUUCCGGCCCGUCAACGACGCUCAUGCUCGAAGGUGCGGGUAGCAAACAGGAUUAGAUACCCUGGUAGUCCGCACAGUAAACGAUGGACACCCGCGGUUUGGCCUGUAUGGCUGAGCCGCCAAGCGAAAGCGUUAAGUGGCCCACCUGGGUAGUACGCCGGCAACGGUGAAACUCAAAGGAAUUGACGGGG